RNAcentral lists this small nuclear RNA (104 nucleotides) under Colobus angolensis palliatus. The record is from RNAcentral. Lineage: Eukaryota; Metazoa; Chordata; Mammalia; Primates; Cercopithecidae.
GUGCUCACUUCGGCAGCACAGAUACUAAAACUGGAAUGAUACAGAGAUUAGCAUGGCCUCUGCACAAGCAUGACAUACAAAUUUGUGAAACGUUCCAUUCUUUU